This 506-nucleotide ribosomal RNA is filed under the name uncultured bacterium. RNAcentral's name for it is "partial 16S ribosomal RNA". It matches the Rfam family "Bacterial small subunit ribosomal RNA", at positions 28 to 523 of the family's 1533-position model. The record is from RNAcentral.
GAUGAACGCUAGCUACAGGCUUAACACAUGCAAGUCGAGGGGUAACGAGAGGAAAGCUUGCUUUCCUUGUCGACGACCGGCGCACGGGUGAGUAACGCGUAUCCAACCUGCCCCCAACUAAGGAAUAACCUUGCGAAAGUAAGACUAAUACCUUAUAAUUUCCUCCGAUGUCAUCUGACGAGGAAUAAAGAUUUAUCGGUUGUGGAUGGGGAUGCGUCUGAUUAGCUUGUUGGCGGGGUAACGGCCCACCAAGGCAACGAUCAGUAGGGGUUCUAAGAAGAAGACCCUCCAUAUUGGAACUGAGUCACGGACCAAACUCAUGAGGGAGGCAGCAGUGAGGAAUAUUGGUCAAUGGGCGAAAGCCUGAACCAGCCAAGUGGCGUGCAGAAAGCCGCCCCUAUGGGUUGUAAACUGGUUCUAUACAGAAGUAAAGUUAGGCACGUGUGGUUAUUUGUUGGUACUGUACGAAUAAGGACCGGCUAAUUCCGUGCCAGUCGCCGCAGUAA